Oreochromis niloticus (Nile tilapia) is the source of this 71-nucleotide small nucleolar RNA. Lineage: Eukaryota; Metazoa; Chordata; Actinopteri; Cichliformes; Cichlidae. The record is from Ensembl.
CUGGAGAUGAUGCAUAAAAAAAACAUCUGACUUGUUGCUGAUGGUGUUUGUAUUCAUACUGUCUGAUCCAG